AAAUCCGGAAGUAAUGUUUUUUUUAUUAAGCCUAAUGGUAUAGUGUAAAAGUGACUAUUUGCAUGUAUUAUUUCCAUUAUGAGAAUCGUUUUUUCUUGCUAAAACUUGUAAUAGAUAUAGUAAUUUUUGUAUAAUAUGUAUGAAGGCUGUUUAUGCAAGUAGUAUUCUAAAUACUGUAUUCCUGUGACAGGUGUGUAUUAUGAUUAUUGUAGACAUCUUGAAUGUUGAGACUGAUGUAUCAGCAGUAGCUAAACAGUUACAUUGAAGUUCACAAGUUGAUUUAAGUAAGUAUACCUGGUAGGUCAUUAUGUUCCUGGAAAAAUGUCACCAGGUAAACUAUUUCUGAUAUGUGUUCAGAUGUAUUCCGUUGUGCAUUGUGAUUGAGACUUUGGGGCUGUAUGCCGUUGGAAAAUAAAUGGUGACCUGACAUCUCUCUCUCUCUGUUUUAGGGUAUAUUGUUGUGAGGCUGACAACUUGGCGAGCGUGCCAGGAUCAGCAUAUGUUGCUUGAAGUCCACCACGACAAUAUUGAAGAUGUCAGAGACAGAGUGGAGCAUCAAAUCCCGGAUGUUCAGUCUGGAUGUUGGUGUGUUGACAGAAUCGCUGGAGCAGCUUGGAAUACCUGUCAAGGCUGGUAUCGACAAAUCAACGUGUUUGACAACUUUAGAAUCCUAUAAUGUCGUAAUGAUCCAAGCAAUGGGGGAAAAGGAAAUGCACCCCUACCAGCUGCUGUAGCUGAAAAGCAAAGAGGUUCCUGUCAUGAACCCAAGACCGUGACCACAUCACCGCCAACAAUUGUGAGGGUAGCAGAUGUUAAGGAGUUCAAGAUUCAUGAAUCUGUCAUGAAGCAAGAAAUAGGUUUCAUCAACUUGAUAUGACUGAGGCAGGAGAAGAAAGGGGUUACAGUACUGUUGAGAUUAUUGAUGGUGUUCUUCGAGCCAUUCCACCAUCAGAGUUACUGAGGUGAUACAUUGAAGGAAAGGCUGAUCGUAGUUUACCCAUUUUCAGGAAGCUUCUCCGAACAGUCUCUGAGGAAAAAUCUGCGACAAAACUUUAUCAGGAACUUAGUUGUGGUGUUCAAGGGGAAAACGAAGAAACUUUAGAUUUGGUUCGGAGGAUUCUUGACUUGAGUCAAAAAUAAAUUUCUCCUGCAAAGAGGAUGGAUCUGAUAUAAGGUAUGACCAGAACCUGAUGAUAAGUAUGACCCUGAGAACAAUACACACUGGCUUGAGAGACGCCAUUAUUGCACAAGAAUUGAGGAACACUCUGUCAUCUAAUCCUCUGGAUCAUGAGAUCAUUGGUCAGGUUGGCGCUGCUGCGUCUGCCGAGAAGGAGCGGAAAAGGAAGAGCACACGUGUUGCUGAUGUUAGGUCUGUAGUGUUUGAGGAAUCAAAGGAUGAAACAAGUGAACUGUUAGGCGACAGUGAACUGGCUGUCUAGGCUGCCAAUGGGGAGAACAUACCCUUUGAAGGAUGUGUCGAAGUAUCAUUCGAACUGAUGAAGGGAACCACUGAUCAGAAAUUUUCUUUUCCAUUUUUAGUUACUAAGAUGUCCAGCAUCACUACCCCAAUCAUAGGUAUUAAUGUGAUCGAGCAAUAUCUCUUCAGUCAUGCAGAGUGUAGCAGAGUCAAUGUCAUACAAUCAGGACUGCCAGCAAUUAGGAAAGAAAAACUGGAAGCUGUAGUUAAGCUGUUGCAAGAGGAGCGACCUGAUGCAAUAUGUGACUUUCACAGUGAAAGACCAGUAUUACUUGUCAAAGCUGGUCAAGUGUUACAAGGGAAGUUCAUAGUCGCCACUAAUGUAAGUGAACCCACCACUGUCUUGUUGGAACCAAACAUUAAGGAACCUUGGCCUGUUGGACUGAAGAUUCAAGGAUCGCUUCUUAGGUUGAAGAGAUUCACCAAAACAAACAUUCCGGUAAUGUUAAUGAACUGUACUAGUCAUGACAUUAAAGUUCACAGCAGGUCAUGUCUUGGUACACUGCAUCAAGUGAGAUCUGUCAUACCAUUACAAGGUGAGAACGAGCCAGAUCCUGCCCAGAAUUUAGAUGAUAUCCUGGAAUCAGAUAAAGACAUCAGACACCACAAGCAUACAAGAGCACUGGCAUCCCCCAGUAGACUUAAGUGGUGAUUUAUGUGAGGAACAACAUGAAAUGAUCAAGCAGAUGUUAUAUGAAGAGUCAGAUGUGUUCAGUAAGACAUGAUGAUAUUGGGACAAUAACUGAUUUGAAAAUGGACAUUCAACUCACUGAUGAUGUACCUGUACAGAAGUUGUAUGUGUCCAUACCGAUGCCUCUUUACAAAGAAGUUAAAGAUUAUCAAGAAGACCUUAUAAACAAGGGAUGGGUACGACACUUGAAGUCAUAUUACUUGAGCCCUCUAGUUUGUGUCAGAAGAAAGGACUCGAGUCUGAGACUAAGUGUUGACACCCUCUACCACGCAUACAGGAUGCCCUUGACAGUUUGAGUGGAAACCAAUGGUUUACCUUGCUUGAUCAGGGGAAGGCCUAUCACCAGGGCUUAUCAAGGAAAGUUGUAGACCAUAUACUGCUUUUAUAAGUCCUUGGGGGCUAUAUGAAUGGACACGCAUUCCUUUUGGUUUAACUGGAGCACCAAGUGCAUUCAAGCGCUUCAUGAACACUUGCUUACAAGGGCUGAGGGACACUAUUUGUAUUCCCUUUCUUGAUGAUGUUACAGUCUUCAGCAAAGAUUUUUCACAACAUGUAGAAGAUGUAAGGACUGUCUUGCAACGGUUAAAGGAAUCUGGGGUUAAACUAAAACCUCGUAAGUGCAAUCUAUUUAAGAAACAGGUGCGCUACCUUGGACACAUUGUCUCAGAACAUGGCAUUCAGAUGGACCCAAGAGACAAGGAAGCUGUUCUUAAUCUCAAAUCUAUCCAACCAGCUACAGUGGGAGAUGUGAGGAGACUAUUAGGAUUCAUUGGUAACUACCGUAAAUACAUUCCAGAUUACUCUCGCAGAGCACAGUGCUUAUUCGAACUGCUGUGUUGUUCCGACUCCAAUACUGUAGACAAAGGUGUGAAGGUGCGAUGGGAAAAGAAUGGUCAGUUGUCCUCAAGUCACAAAAUCACAUGGACAGAUGAACAUAAACAGAUUCUGCAUGGUAUCAUAGAUGACUUGUUAACUGAAAAGGUGAUGGCUUACCCUGACUGGGAGAAAGAGUUUGUAUUGCAUGUUGAUGCCUCUCAAGAAGGACUGGGUGCCAUUCUGUAUCAGUCACAGGAAAAUAGAAAAUUAGCUGUUGUUGCAUAUGGAUCACGAUCACCGUCUCCAGCAGAAUAGAACUACCAUGCUCGUUCAGGGAAGUUGGAGUUUCUUGCUCUAAAAUGGGCAAUAACAGAACGGUUCAGGGACUAUUUGUACUAUGCACCCAUCUUCACAGUCUUUAGUGACAACAACCCUCUGACUUAUAUUCUUCCUUCAGCUUAGUUGGAUGGUACCAGACACAGAUGGGUAGCAAAAUUGGCUGACUAUAAAUUUUCAAUUAAAUACAAGCCUGGGAAGAAGAACUUUGAUGCAGAUAGACUGAGCAGAAUGCCAUCAGAUAUUGACCAGUAUAUGUUUGAGUGUGUCUGUGAAAUAAAUCAAGAAGCAAUUGAAAUGUCAAAUCAGGUUACCAAUGCUAGGGAAGAGGGUGACAUUGUCUGGAUUUCAUCAAUCACUGAUGACCAUACUUGUCUUUCUGAAGUUGUCUCCUCUUCCAGCUGCAAGCCUACUUUCCAUUGUUUUAGUGCUGAGGACAUCAACAAGACGAUGAACACAUCAGACCAGUAUUGAAAAGCAAACAGAAGAAAAGGAAACCCAAUAGGAUGACUAAACACAGGACAGAAACCAUGGACCUGGAAGAAACUCUGUCUUAAUACGGAUAGCGUUCUGUGUAGAAGAACAGUGUUGUAGUGAAGAAAGGACUCAAAUAGUACUUCCCUAGCAAUUUAGGGCAGCAAUUUAGGGCACUUGUGUUAAAAGAACUUCACAAUGAAAUGGGGCACGUUGGUUCAGAAAGAGUUGUGGCACUGGUGAGAGAGAGAUUCUAUUGGCACAGGCAAGCGAAUGUCGAACGUUAUGUCACUAAGGAAUGCACUUGUCUCAAAGACCGCACGCCAACAAUUCCAACAAAAGCACCACUGAAACCAAUAUCAACAUCUGCAUCCUUUCAACUGGUGUCUAUUGACUUUCCUCAUUUGGAAAGAAGCACAGGUGGCUAUAAGUACAUUUUAGUUGUGUGCGACCACUUUACUAGAUUUGCACAAGCAUAUGCAUCGCGAAACAAAUCAGCGAAGACUGCUGCAGAGAAAAUUUUCAAAGACUCAAAUUUUGGUUUCCAGCCAAACUGCACCAUGAUCAAGGUGCAGAAUUUGAAAAUCAGCUCUUUCAUCAUCUGCAGAAAUAUUGUCGCAUGGCCAGAUCGAGAACAACUCUGUAUCAUCCGGAGGGGAAUGGACAGGUAGAAUGCUCCAAAAAAACAUUGUUGGGUAUGCUUCGUACCUUGCCCAGCCAAAUGAAAAGAAACUGGAAAGAUCAUUUAAAUAAAGUAGUCCAUGCAUACAACUGCACUCGAAAUGAUGCUACCAGUUACUCACCUUUCUGUCUACUCUUUGGGCGAUCACCUCGUACCAGUGGACCUAAUGUUUGGACUUGGUAACAAGAUUUAAACAGUGAUCCUAACAAAUAUGUGAACCAGUGGCGACAAUGCAUGCAACAAGCAUAUGAUCAAGCAAAUGUGAUUGCCGAUGAGAAUGCAUGAAAGGGAAAGAAGCAAUAUGAUAAGGAGAGAAGCACUACUUUGAUGACUGGUGAUCUCAUGCUUUUGAGAAACAUGUCUGAAAGAGGUGGUCCGGCAAAGUUGAAAUCUUAUUGGGAACCAAAGAUUCACAUUGUGAAUAAGCAAUUAGUGGGUGACAGUCCUGUAUAUGAAGUGAGACCUGAAGGUGGAAUUGGAUGGACUAGAGUUCUACACAGAAACAAGGUGCUUCCUUGUGAUGGACGUCCAGUUGACAAGAUUGUUGACAGAGCAAAAGCCCAGAAAGCUGGAACUCAAACGCUCCGGAUGAAAAAGCACAUUGUCGAUUAUGAGCACUCAGGGACGGACAGUGAUUCUUCAGAAGGCAGUGGCCAAGUGGAGAUCGAUGUGAAGGAAGUUCAUCCUGAGAAGCAUUUUGCUGCGUCAGAAAAUGCCAAUGAAACACACAACACCCAGUAUCAAGUCGGUCGACGGAUCAUGGUUCUAAUAGUGUUGAGGAUCGAGAUGAUACUGAUGUGAGUGCAAGUGAGCAGUCACCAGAUGGUGACAAUUCUGUGAGGACCUGUGACCAAAUAGAUCUACAGCUACAAUCAACAGAGAGUGAGGAAGAGUCCACAGAUUUUCAUUAUGCCGAUGAUGAAGCAGAGGUGAGGAAGUCACAACGACGAAAGAAAUGUCCAGUCAAACUGACAUAUGCCACAAAGCCAACUGAAUGUGAACAGAAAACAAACCUGAACCUUUUCGACUUGCACCGUGGUACCUGUUUCAUGGUAUUACCCAUACCAAGUACUGUUAACACCAGUGAUACAUAACCCAUGGUUCCAUCCAGAGAGACCUUUACAAGUGAUGAAUGAACUAACAUUGAAACUUCACUAUGAGCACAAUGGGUAUAUUGUUGUGAGGCUGACAACUUGGCGAGCGUGCCAGGAUCAGCAUAUGUUGCUUGAAGUCCACCACGACAACAUUGAAGAUGUCAGAGACAGAGUGGAGCAAUUGCUUAUGGACUACAAGUGUGAUCACCAUGCGUUAGUCUAGAACAUAGCCAGAAAAUAGCAGAAAAGGAGCAACUAAACAAACAAAAUGUUGUAACAAAUAAUGUAUUUCAUUAACAUAAAGAAAACAGCCAAAAAAAACAGAUGAAUUUUAUGUAUUUCCUAAAUAUUGUAACAAAUGCCUCAACAGUCCUAAAAUGAUUCAUAAAUGUUUUGUAUAUAAGUAUAUACAUAUGUGUUUAGAGUUCACUGCCUAAUCAUCCUUCUUCUUAAACACACUCUUGACUCUUCUGAAGAAGUUGGCCACCCUGGAUAGCAAGGCCUUCAGGAAGGAGUGGGUUGGCUGGAUGAUCUCCUCAUCCACGAGAUCUACUUCAACAAAGUCAGUGUCGUCCACGAUGUACUGACCAGCGAUAGUGAGGGACACAGAAGGGACAGUGCUGGGGCGAAGGGUCUGUGGGACGGGCAGGUGAGACAAGUGGGCAGGGAUGGUCAGGGACUUUGAAGUGGGUUGCUAUAGAUAGGGAGGUAGUGGAAAGAAUGGAAUGUGAGGAAUGAAUAUUAUGUAGAUGGAAAAAGUUAGUCAAUCAUUGAAUUUUAUUGCAGCAAAUAAAAGAUUAUGGUGGUAAAGACAGAAAA
Molecule: RNA transcript, 6389 nt
Organism: Haliotis rufescens (red abalone)
Lineage: Eukaryota; Metazoa; Mollusca; Gastropoda; Lepetellida; Haliotidae
Exons: 2
Source: RefSeq, a predicted model, not a curated record